GUCUCCGGCUGUAUCUCUCGGGGUCUCUUUCGGUCUCUGCUCCCUCCCUCUUCCCUCCUGACGUCUGCUCUCCCUCCGACGGCGCCUCCCUCCCAGCCCUCCCCCUGCACCACCACCCCAGCGCGCGCACACGCUCACACCCCUCCCUGGGACUGAGAUGCAAAGAGAGAAAGGGAUGGAGGGCAAAAGGGAUCGGCUACCCUUCCAGAAGAACAACGUAAGGCAUCGGCCCCUUUUUGAAGGGCCAAGGAGAGGAGCGCAGCCACGGGUUGAUCUCCAAGCAGGAAGACUUUGACAUCCUUUGGGGCUGAGACAUCUAAGAACUAGGAAGGGAGGGGAUUCCUGGUGAGAAGAAUGAGAGGAUUAGACAAACUGUCCAAUGCUUGCCUCAGGCGAAGUGGGAGCUAGAAACUGCCCCAGGUAUUGGUGGUGUGGUUCAGCUCGGCUGGGACCCGAGCUACUGUUUCCUGCAAGCAGAAGUUGGGAAGUGGAGGAAGGCCACACUGGGGUAAGCAAGCCAGAGCAAUCAGGGAAAUUAGGUGUCCUUCCAAUUCGUACUCAGCCAGGUCACCCCCAUGCGGCUUAAAAUGCUGAGUAAA
This is a long non-coding RNA of Manis pentadactyla (Chinese pangolin), 599 nucleotides long. RefSeq lists it as uncharacterized. The record is from RefSeq and is a predicted model, not a curated record. The transcript is spliced from 3 exons. Lineage: Eukaryota; Metazoa; Chordata; Mammalia; Pholidota; Manidae.